This 253-nucleotide ribosomal RNA is filed under the name uncultured bacterium. RNAcentral's name for it is "partial 16S ribosomal RNA". It matches the Rfam family "Bacterial small subunit ribosomal RNA", at positions 524 to 776 of the family's 1533-position model. The record is from RNAcentral.
UACGUAGGGUGCGAGCGUUGUCCGGAAUUAUUGGGCGUAAAGGGCGCGUAGGCGGCUUUAUAAGUCGGGGGUGAAAGCCUGUGGCUCAACCACAGAAUUGCCUUCGAUACUGUAGAGCUUGAGACCGGAAGAGGUAAGUGGAACUGCGAGUGUAGAGGUGAAAUUCGUAGAUAUUCGCAAGAACACCAGUGGCGAAGGCGGCCAACUGGUCCGGUACUGACGCUGAGGUGCGAAAGCGUGGGGAGCAAACAGG